GACGAACGCUGGCGGCGUGCUUAACACAUGCAAGUCGAACGGUGAAGCUCCAGCUUGCUGGAGUGGAUCAGUGGCGAACGGGUGAGUAACACGUGAGCAACCUGCCCCUGACUCUGGAAUAAGCGCUGGAAACGGCGUCUAAUACUGGAUACGAGAAGGGUCCGCAUGGGCACUUUCUGGAAAGUUUUUCGGUUGGGGAUGGGCUCGCGGCCUAUCAGCUUGUUGGUGAGGUAAUGGCUCACCAAGGCGACCGCGGGUAGCCGGCCUGAGAGGGCGACCGGCCACACUGGGACUGAGACGCGGCCCAGACUCCUACGGGAGGCAGCAGUGGGGAAUAUUGCACAAUGGGCGAAAGCCUGAUGCAGCGACGCCGCGUGAGGGAUGACGGCCUUCGGGUUGUAAACCUCUUUCAGCAGGGAAGAAGCGAAAGUGACGGUACCUGCAGAAGAAGCACCGGCUAACUACGUG
RNAcentral lists this ribosomal RNA (468 nucleotides) under uncultured bacterium. RNAcentral describes it as "partial 16S ribosomal RNA". It matches the Rfam family "Bacterial small subunit ribosomal RNA", at positions 28 to 507 of the family's 1533-position model. The record is from RNAcentral.